RNAcentral lists this ribosomal RNA (253 nucleotides) under uncultured bacterium. Its description in RNAcentral is "partial 16S ribosomal RNA". It matches the Rfam family "Bacterial small subunit ribosomal RNA", at positions 524 to 776 of the family's 1533-position model. The record is from RNAcentral.
UACGUAGGUGGCAAGCGUUGUCCGGAUUUACUGGGCGUAAAGAGCGCGCAGGCGGUCGUUCAAGUCGCGUGUGAAAGCCCCCGGCUCAACUGGGGAGGGUCACGCGAUACUGAUCGACUCGAAGGCAGGAGAGGGUAGUGGAAUUCCCGGUGUAGUGGUGAAAUGCGUAGAUAUCGGGAGGAACACCAGUGGCGAAGGCGGAUCUCUGGGCCAUUACUGACGCUGAGGAGCGAAAGCGUGGGGAGCGAACAGG